Molecule: long non-coding RNA, 225 nt
Filed under: Coffea arabica (coffee)
Lineage: Eukaryota; Viridiplantae; Streptophyta; Magnoliopsida; Gentianales; Rubiaceae
Description: long non-coding RNA (CARA_LNC003649)
Source: RNAcentral
AGUAUGGACAAGUUCCUAAAAACAUCAUGUAAUCAAUAACUAAAAACUAAGACUGAUCUUCAAUUUAAGCUGAAACAAUCAGCCACCAGAUGAAUGAUUGUAUUGAGUGAUAACUGACAGCUGUAGUCUGAGCUCAAACAAUGUGUCAAAACUGGUAAGAGACCAAACCUUUAAUGUUUGUCUUCUUAUAGCAAUGAGCAGCAUCAGCAUAAGCAUUUGCAGCUU